AGGCAGGUGCAGAACAACUCAAGACGUCCGGAGUGACUACCGAAAAUGGGAACUAUGAGGCAUGUACUACCUGGGAAUGAUGCCAACUGCUGACAAAAGGCUUUACUGCACGGUUCUGUGAGAAGCCUUUAACUCAUUGCUCUGAAAUGCUUCAGGAAUAUCUGGCACAGAAUUGUUUGGCCAACUGUAGAUAAAUCUGUCAAACCCUUUGGCUUUGUUACAAGACAGCAUUUCAACCCACAAGUUUCCUCUGCAACCUGCAAAAGUAUCUGUCCUUAAGGCUGAGGUAGUAGAUUGAAUAGUUGUGGGGUUUAUGUCCUCCCUCUGAGAUAACUAUACAAUCUACUGUCUUUCCUAAGGAGACAGGUUGAGCUGCUGUGAAGCCGAAGCCUGUUUUCACGUGGGAAGCUCUGUGGAUAUAAAGGAACUCAUGAACGGGCAGAAAAGUAGAUUCAAGACAUAACCCAACACUCAUCUCUGAGGAGAAGACUGCUGACAAAACAAAGACUUUAUAUAUUUACAAGAAACAAUGAUGAAACUGGUCUUUUCUAAUAACAACAUGUUUUGAAGUUGGUACAUAUCUAGCAAUGUCUUGUUUUUAAGGAUAUUUAUUGGUGCCUGGAGUUGAGCCUAGCAAGGUGAGGUAGUAGGUUGUAUAGUUUGUGGGAUGGAGUAAAUCCUACUCAGGCGAUAACUAUACAGUCUAUUACCUUCCUUGAGAGGUACAAUGAGUGCUUGGAAUGAGGCUCGCUCACACUGACCGAGUGGUGAAGGAGCCACUCUGACGCCAUCUUGUGGCCAAAGACUAUCAUCACUCUGGGAGUCAUUGCAGCUUUGGGAACUCUAUUGUGUCUAUGGGGUUAUAAUCAAAAAACAACCUAAUGAUAAGUGUAGCUUGCCCAAUCACCAGGUUCUUAUCAUCCAUUGCACCAGGAUGGACAUCACCACUUCUCUUAGCUUACUGUACAAGUUCUCUUUGUUCCUUUUUAAAAGUUGCACCCGGCAGCUUUGUUAAUAGCUCUAAACAGGGAAAUGUUAGUGGCAUUGAGGAGAUAUUCU
Centropristis striata (black sea bass) is the source of this 1059-nucleotide long non-coding RNA. RefSeq lists it as uncharacterized. The transcript has 2 exons. The record is from RefSeq and is a predicted model, not a curated record. Lineage: Eukaryota; Metazoa; Chordata; Actinopteri; Perciformes; Serranidae.